This 1368-nucleotide ribosomal RNA is filed under the name Triticum aestivum (bread wheat). Its description in RNAcentral is "partial small subunit ribosomal RNA". Lineage: Eukaryota; Viridiplantae; Streptophyta; Magnoliopsida; Poales; Poaceae. The record is from RNAcentral.
AUGGCCGAGAUGGUCAAGUCUACCAUUGUUGGGGAAGCAGUUAGCCGGAUUAUUUCUGGUAUUGCCCCCACCAGCAAAAGGCCUGACAGAUCAGUUGAAGAAGCAGCAGGGGAUGGUGGCCUAGAGAGGCUGGAGAUGGCGCACAUCAAAAUGGAGGCCACGCUCCAUACGUCUGACAAGUGGCAAAUCACCGACGUGCCGCUGCUCCAUUGGCGGAAGAAGCUAAAGCGUGCUGCCCAGCACUGCGACGACGUAGCGCGCAGAUGCAGGCAACUCUUUCAGGAAGAAGAGGAGGCGGAGCAAGUGGUAAGGCAAUCCUCGUUUCCUAGACAGAUAGCUCAUGCGACCAAGGUGUUCAUCUCCUCUUUGGUCGGCCGUGACAAUGACCAUUACUCUGCGAGCAGCACCACCACCGCUGCCGUCCGAAGAUUUGAGAAGCUUGCAGACGGUGCAAGUGAAUUCGGGCAAAUCACUGAUAUAUCAAAUGUUGCAUCCAGCCGGCCGUACAUAGUGGGAACUACAGUCAAGUGCUUGCGACUGCUGACACCAAACUUCAAGUCCACGGCUGAUAUUGUGAUCAGAGAGAUCAUCCAGUUUCCCACGCAAGAUUUCUCGUGUGUUGCACACAAGGACGAACACUGGAACAACAUCCACAGAACUUUGGUUCGAUGGUUUCGCCCAGAUCCAUUAUGUUGUCAAGGAUAUGAGCACGACCUUGUGCCUUCUUGUCACAACAGUGGUGACAACGCCAGGGGAAAAAAAAUAAGAUUUUCGCGCAUAUUUCCAGAACCAGCCUGUGUAGUGUUUUUGCGGCGUCAUAUCUCAGUAUCGGAGUACAAUGACCUGCCGGGAGUAACUGCAGUUGUUGGUCAUGAGGACAUGUCUUCUUGGGAGAAUUCGCCACCUUUGAAGCUUGGAAUUCUAUUCUUGCCUCAUGACUCCUUGGAGGACCCCAAGUCUGAUGGUUUUGCGGUAGAGGUGAUUGAUAGAGAUAAUUCACACCACCUCACACACGUAACUGUUCAACUGGACCAACUCGAUGAGAUGGUGAUUCCCAAGGCAACAGAGUAUCUUCAUCAUAAUGCCAAGGCUAGGACGUACCAGGUAUGUUGGAGGUCUAACCAUGGCAGUGCACAUCUAUGCGUGGAGAAGGCCAUCGCCGAAAAACUGCUCGAGGUGCGCAGAUCCACACGACAAGGAAGGAACAUUAAUAAGAGUACUAAGGGGCUUUCUCAAGUGAAGCAGCAUCAGCAGGCGCGGUUAAAAAAGCAGAUGUUUGAAUCUUUUCAAAAAAAUUGGGUUGUGCGUUCCUCGGAGAGGUUGCAGAGCUCGUUUACCACAUGGCAUGAUCAGUUUGGACAAAACUAG